GACGAACGCUGGCGGCGUGCUUAACACAUGCAAGUCGAACGGAAAGGCCCCUUUGGGGGUACUCGAGUGGCGAACGGGUGAGUAACACGUGAGUAACCUGCCCUUGACUUCGGGAUAACUUCAGGAAACUGGGGCUAAUACCGGAUAGGAAUCCUUGCUGCAUGGUGGGGGUUGGAAAGCUUCGGCGGUUUUGGAUGGACUCGCGGCUUAUCAGCUUGUUGGUGGGGUAGUGGCUUACCAAGGCUUUGACGGGUAGCCGGCCUGAGAGGGCGACCGGCCACAUUGGGACUGGGAUACGGCCCAGACUCCUAAGGGGGGCAGCAGUGGGGAAUAUUGCACAAUGGGCGGAAGCCUGAUGCAGCAACGCCGCGUGCGGGAUGACGGCCUUCGGGUUGUAAACCGCUUUCAGCAGGGGCGAAGCUUGUGGUGACGGUACCUGCAGAAGAAGCACCGGCUAACUACGUG
RNAcentral lists this ribosomal RNA (465 nucleotides) under uncultured bacterium. Its description in RNAcentral is "partial 16S ribosomal RNA". It matches the Rfam family "Bacterial small subunit ribosomal RNA", at positions 28 to 507 of the family's 1533-position model. The record is from RNAcentral.